UACGUAGGGAGCAAGCGUUAUCCGGAAUUAUUGGGUGUAAAGAGUGCGUAGACGGGAUAACAAGUUGGUUGUGAAACCCCUCGGCUCAACUGAGGAACUGCAACCAAAACUAUUAUUCUUGAGUGCAGGAGAGGAAAGUGGAAUUCCUAGUGUAGCGGUGAAAUGCGUAGAUAUUAGGAAGAACACCGGUGGCGAAGGCGACUUUCUGGACUGUAACUGACGUUGAGGCACGAAAGUGUGGGGAGCAAACAGG
Molecule: ribosomal RNA, 253 nt
Filed under: uncultured bacterium
Lineage: Bacteria
Description: partial 16S ribosomal RNA
Rfam family: Bacterial small subunit ribosomal RNA
Source: RNAcentral